Molecule: ribosomal RNA, 253 nt
Filed under: uncultured prokaryote
Description: partial 16S ribosomal RNA
Rfam family: Bacterial small subunit ribosomal RNA
Source: RNAcentral
ACGGAGGGGGCUAGCGUUGUUCGGAAUUACUGGGCGUAAAGCGUGCGUAGGCGGUUCGUUAAGUCUGUCGUGAAAGCCCUGGGCUCAACCUGGGAAUGGCGAUGGAUACUGGCGAGCUAGAGUGUGAUAGGGGAUGGCGGAAUUCCCGGUGUAGCGGUGAAAUGCGUAGAGAUCGGGAGGAACAUCUGUGGCGAAGGCGGCCAUCUGGAUCAACACUGACGCUGAGGCACGAAAGCGUGGGGAGCAAACAGGA